This is a long non-coding RNA of Harpia harpyja (harpy eagle), 636 nucleotides long. RefSeq lists it as uncharacterized. NCBI's taxonomy places the organism in Eukaryota, Metazoa, Chordata, Aves, Accipitriformes, Accipitridae. The transcript is spliced from 2 exons. The record is from RefSeq and is a predicted model, not a curated record.
CUUGGGCAUGUGAAGCACACUGUGAGACUAUCCAUAGCGCAGAGCACAGUAACGUGUGGCGUUGUCUUUUCUCCUGCAGGGGCAGAUGCUGGGAGAAGGUCUGAGGCUGCUGGUCACGAAUUGCUGCACAAGUACUAUAUCCCAGUGACUGCAGUAGCCUUGGCUGUGGUGCUGUCUGGGCUAGUUGGAUCUUGCAUAGUCAUUUCACGGCUGAGGAAGAGAGACCCAAGGAGCCAGGGAGAUGAAGCAGCACUGGGACAAGCUGAUACUGACUCUGCCUGGAAAAGUGAAGAUCCAACUAGAGAUAAAGGCAAAGCAGAGUCAGGAGCAGGAACAAGAAAAGUUGAGGUUGCUCAAGAAAAUGGGACUUUCAACAACAGCUCCAGCCCAUCACCGUGGCCUUUUGUGGCAGAGCUCACGCAGCUGUACAGGAGCGCAAGCGCAGACCCCUCACCUCUGCCCGCUUGUCCCAGCUGCUCUUUCACCAACGAUACCUCUUCAGUGGACAAUUCGAUUUCUCUCGACUCACCUCAGCCUAACCCCUUCUGGUGUCCCUGUCACCAGUUCCAACAGGGAUACUGUACCUCAGAAGAUGAGUCUUUUUUAGAGUAAAUAAAAAAUACAUUUUGGCCAAAA